UUUGAAAAGUAUCACCAUUGUAAUCUCAUGUGGUAACUGUGAGUGAUUUAUAAUCUCAGAUUACUAUGUGAGAAUACAUUGUUGACACUAAUCGCCUC
RNAcentral lists this microRNA precursor (98 nucleotides) under Rhodnius prolixus. RNAcentral's name for it is "microRNA miR-3477 precursor". The record is from RNAcentral. Lineage: Eukaryota; Metazoa; Arthropoda; Insecta; Hemiptera; Reduviidae.